Dicentrarchus labrax (European seabass) is the source of this 1450-nucleotide long non-coding RNA. RefSeq lists it as uncharacterized. Lineage: Eukaryota; Metazoa; Chordata; Actinopteri; Moronidae. The transcript has 3 exons. The record is from RefSeq and is a predicted model, not a curated record.
UGUGUGGUGUGGAAUGGCGCCUGCGACAACGGCAGCCUGUCAUGGCAGCUCCUUUCAUUGUUGUAGUUUUAAUGUGUUUUCAGUGUGUUUUUGCUAUUUUGAACUAUUUUCUUACUUUCUUACUACUUUGUUCACGUCGCCUAAAUACUUUUUUGGCGUUUUUGAGCACUUUUUAUUUUUUGUUUACGCUGGUCUCCAUGGCGACGAGGAGUCGCAUUGUUUUCACCCGCGACCAGAUGAUCGCCCUGAGGCCCCCUAGCAUCCUGACUGGAGAGAGACCCUCCAUACCGGAGGAGCUGAGGAGGAGACGGUGAGGCUGCAGAGCGGGGGUUAAACGGAGGAUGAAGAGGAGGAGGUUUGAACCCUACACCCCUGCAAUCAUCGAGCAGAUACCGGACGGUUCGAGCCGACAGGGACACCACCGCGACCGGCAUGAAGAAAGGAGGGGGACUGUCCGUGCUCAUAAACAACAGGUGGUGUAACGCCGGGCACGUCUGUGUGAAAGAGCGUCUGCAGCCCGGACAUCGAGCUCGUCGCCGUCGGACUUCGUCCGUGUUGUCUGCCACGGGAACUUUCCAGUGUUAUCGCCAUCACUGUCUAUAUUCCUCACAGUGGUCUUCAUCAUCACCAUCACUGUCUAUAUUCCUCACAGUGGUCUUCAUCAUCACCAUCACUGUUUACAUUUAUGAUGUCCUAUUUAUUCUCCUGUACAGCACUUUGGUCAACUUUGGUUGUUUUUAAAGUGCUUAACAAAUAAAGUUGGAUUGGAUUGGAUUGGAUAAUACUAGAAAAGCAUUAUAUAUGCAAGAACAAUCCAUUUACCAUAUUCUUCACUGUGUCAGAACCUAUAGGUGUGCAUCACCUGUGUGAUCAUGAGAAGGCUGAAGAACCAGGAGUGACAAGAUAUCACCGGCUGCUGGGGUGCAGCAUUAAACCCAGAGACAGACAUUUUGGAAAUGAAAAGUCUCCUGCCACAAGAUCUUCAGAGCCAGAGCAUCAAAGAUCCAGACGAUUUCUGCCAAUUUGGAGGAGGAUUCAGAUUUUUCUGCUUUUUCUGCUGUGUUGCACCUCUGUUACAGAUUCAUUGACCCUUUGUGGUAUAUUUUCAUUUUACUUAAUAAUACACUGUAUAGUUAGGAUUCUUAAUUAAAAGACUGUAAUGCUUCUCCACAGAUGUUAUCAGAACUACCUUAUACAGAGCCCCCAAGGGUUAGGAGAAUGAAGAAGACCACAACUCCCUCAGCUCAACAACACAAUUUGUUGCUUCCUCCAUCCAUUUCAAAGGUGAAAUCUUGACCUCAUUUUGAUAGAAAUGCUAACAGACACACAUGUUACACACAUUUAGUUUUUCAGUUCCUCCUGGGGGGCUCUAAAGAACUGUUGUGAAUAAUUGGUUGAUAUUGUAAAUUGACAUCUGAAUACAAAAAAUAAAAGGAUUUUAGAAUCAAUA